This 301-nucleotide ribosomal RNA is filed under the name uncultured bacterium. Its description in RNAcentral is "partial 16S ribosomal RNA". It matches the Rfam family "Bacterial small subunit ribosomal RNA", at positions 509 to 807 of the family's 1533-position model. The record is from RNAcentral.
CAGUAGCCGCGGUAAAACAGAGGGUGCGAGCGUUAAUCGGAUUUACUGGGCGUAAAGCGUGCGUAGGCGGCUUCUUAAGUCGGAUGUGAAAUCCCUGAGCUUAACUUAGGAAUUGCAUUCGAUACUGGGAAGCUAGAGUAUGGGAGAGGAUGGUAGAAUUCCAGGUGUAGCGGUGAAAUGCGUAGAGAUCUGGAGGAAUACCGAUGGCGAAGGCAGCCAUCUGGCCUAAUACUGACGCUGAGGUACGAAAGCAUGGGGAGCAAACAGGAUUAGAGACCCCGGUAGUCCCUGUCUCUUAUAC